This 393-nucleotide transfer-messenger RNA is filed under the name Cyanobacteria bacterium SZAS-4. It matches the Rfam family "transfer-messenger RNA". From Rfam's summary of the family: Bacterial tmRNA, also known as 10Sa RNA or SsrA, is named for its dual tRNA and mRNA-like properties. Its role is to liberate the mRNA from a stalled ribosome. RNAcentral also lists the same sequence under 1 other name. Lineage: Bacteria; Bacillati; Cyanobacteriota. The record is from RNAcentral.
GGGGGCGUUUAGAUUCGACAGGGUUGUUGGGUCAUGGGCUGCAGGUCGAGGUCGCUUAGGUCCUCGUAAAAAAACAGAGCAAAAUAUAGAUGCAAAUAACAUCGUAAAAUUCCCAGCCCAGCGCGUAGCGUUGGCUGCUUAACUUUAACCUUAAGCUAGCUGGACUCUAUUAGAGCUUGACCACCCGCUCUUCUCGGGGUAAACCACGGAGGUUGCCACCAGGCGAAAUUAGCAGUUCUUAGCCUGGUAUAAGACACAAUUGCAAUCCCGGAUGGCCGUUCAGGCCUUUACCAGCGGAUCGGAAACGGUAACUGGGGAAAUUCUGAACUAAACUUGUAGAUGCUUAUGUCACGAUUUCUUUGGACGCGAGUGCGAUUCUCGCCGCCUCCACCA